RNAcentral lists this ribosomal RNA (497 nucleotides) under uncultured bacterium. Its description in RNAcentral is "partial 16S ribosomal RNA". It matches the Rfam family "Bacterial small subunit ribosomal RNA", at positions 28 to 507 of the family's 1533-position model. The record is from RNAcentral.
GAUGAACGCUGGCGGCGUGCCUAAUACAUGCAAGUCGAGCGAACAGACGCGGAGUUUGUUCCUCUGACGUUAGCGGCGCACGGGUGUGUAACACGUGGAUACUCUCCUUAUCAGACUGGGAUCACUACGGGACACCGGCUCUAAUCCCGGAUAAUAUAUUGCUCCGCAUGGUUCUAUAGUGAAAGACGGUUUUGCUGUCACUACUCGCUGCUUACCGGCCGCUUUAUCUUGUUGGUAAGGUAACGGCUUACCACGGCAACGAUGCGUAGCCGACGUGAGAGGGUGGUCGGCCACACUGGAACUGGAACACGGACCAGACUCCUACGAGAAGCAGCAGUAGGGAAACUUCCGCAAUGGUCGGAAGCUUGACGGAACGACGCCGCGUGAGUGGUAAAGGUCUUCGGAUCGUAAAACUCUGUUAUUAGGGAAGAACAGAUGUGUAAGUAACUAAGCACGUCGUGACGGUAACUAAUCAGAAAGCCACGGCUAACUACGUG